GGGCGCGUAGCUCAGUUGGCUAGAGCACCUCGUUUACACCGAGGGGGUCAGGGGUUCGAGUCCCUUCGCGCCCACCA
Molecule: transfer RNA, 77 nt
Filed under: Candidatus Saccharimonadota bacterium
Lineage: Bacteria; Candidatus Saccharimonadota
Also listed under: 3 other names
Description: tRNA-Val
Rfam family: tRNA
About the family: Transfer RNA (tRNA) molecules are approximately 80 nucleotides in length. Their secondary structure includes four short double-helical elements and three loops (D, anti-codon, and T loops). Further hydrogen bonds mediate the characteristic L-shaped molecular structure. tRNAs have two regions of fundamental functional importance: the anti-codon, which is responsible for specific mRNA codon recognition, and the 3' end, to which the tRNAs corresponding amino acid is attached (by aminoacyl-tRNA synthetases). tRNAs cope with the degeneracy of the genetic code in two manners: having more than one tRNA (with a specific anti-codon) for a particular amino acid; and 'wobble' base-pairing, i.e. permitting non-standard base-pairing at the 3rd anti-codon position.
Source: RNAcentral